AAACUGCUUAGCAAAAUAACAAGUAACAGAAAAUUUUACUUUGCCUCCAGCAGUUGAAGAAUCAUCACCAUAAGAUAUUGUUAAAUGUGGAGAUCUUUUGGAAUCCGUAAACAGAGUACCAAUGGAUGAUGAAGGAUCUUCACACCCAUAACUUCCACGAUGGAUAUGAUCCAAGUCCACAGAACCAAAAGACUGCCAUGCUGAAAAUGUGGAAGUCCCAGAAUCUUCCUUGCAAUGAUCAUUCAUAUUCCAGAUUCCUUCAUUCUCAUUUGACUUAUCAGCAACCCAAUCCUCAUAUUCUUUGGAACUAAGGGCAUAUGACACUAUGCUAGCAGGAUCGUUGUCGUAAACACCAAUAACAAUAUCAUUGUGG
RNAcentral lists this unclassified non-coding RNA (373 nucleotides) under Hevea brasiliensis (rubber tree). The record is from RNAcentral. Lineage: Eukaryota; Viridiplantae; Streptophyta; Magnoliopsida; Malpighiales; Euphorbiaceae.